Molecule: transfer RNA, 72 nt
Filed under: Camelus bactrianus (Bactrian camel)
Lineage: Eukaryota; Metazoa; Chordata; Mammalia; Artiodactyla; Camelidae
Also listed under: 2 other names
Rfam family: tRNA
About the family: Transfer RNA (tRNA) molecules are approximately 80 nucleotides in length. Their secondary structure includes four short double-helical elements and three loops (D, anti-codon, and T loops).
Source: Rfam by way of RNAcentral
GGGGGUAUAGCUCAGUGAUAAAGUGUGUACUUUGCAUGCACGAGUUUCUGGGUUCAAUCCCCAGUACCUCCC